AACGUAGGGGGCGAGCGUUAUCCGGAAUCACUGGGCGUAAAGGGCGUCUAGGCGGCAGCCUAAGUUCCGUGUGAAAGCUCCCGGCUCAACUGGGAGAGGGCAUGGGAAACUGGGCAGCUUGAGACUCGGAGGGGGGUGUGGAAUUCCCGGUGGAGUGGUGGAAUGCGUUGAGAUCGGGAGGAACACCAGUAGCGAAGGCGGCACCCUGGCCGAGAUCUGACGCUGAAGCGCGAAAGCGUGGGGAGCGAACGGG
Molecule: ribosomal RNA, 253 nt
Filed under: uncultured bacterium
Lineage: Bacteria
Description: partial 16S ribosomal RNA
Rfam family: Bacterial small subunit ribosomal RNA
Source: RNAcentral